This is a long non-coding RNA of Pipra filicauda (Wire-tailed manakin), 7805 nucleotides long. RefSeq lists it as uncharacterized. The record is from RefSeq and is a predicted model, not a curated record. Lineage: Eukaryota; Metazoa; Chordata; Aves; Passeriformes; Pipridae. The transcript has 9 exons.
GUUUCAUGUGCUACAGAGGUUUAUUUCUACAGUAGUGUGCUGUUCAUGUUUUUGUUGCUGUUUGAACUUUUGAGGUUUAUUUUUUAUUCUCCCCCCCCUCCACUUACAGUAGUGUGCAAUUCUUUUAUGCCUGCAAUGCCAUGGAGAAACCACCAGGAGAGCAACCACUGAUCAUAGCAGCAUAUGAGGCGAAAUCCCAUCCCUUAAAAGAAUAUGUAGCCAGGAGCACAACUUCGUUUAAAUGACUCCACUUAAAUUCAGCUUCACAUCGUGAAAUUCAUAGUACAGAGACAAUACCAGCUGCAGAAUAAAGAUGAAAAACUCCCAGCUGAAAUAACACCCAGGCAGUGCAUUCACCCAGUGCCAAAGAGCUGGGCAUGGCUGCAGUAUAACAAAGCUCUGUACCGAGCCUGUUCAGUCUCAGGAAGAAACCUGUCACCUCUACAGAAGACUAAGCUCCAAGACACCGACCAAGACAACAUCAUGAAACCACAGACGUGGAAUUCUACAGAGUCGUUACUGGACUUGUUUUUCAGAGCCUAAACUUUCCAUCCUGUUUCAGGGUCUGCACCCAGGUGGGUAUGCAAGCAAUGAGACAUCCAUUCAACAAGACCAGGGAGUCAAAGAUAACAGUUCCUCCCAGCCUUCUCAGUAUUGCACAUAAAUUCCCUGGUAAGCCAAGUGUCUCAAACUGCAGAUCUACGAUACAUAAGCAGAGGUGAAGGUGAUAAGUGAGAAAGGUGGGUAAAUGACACUAAAAGUACAGUAAAUUCAGGUGGGCAUUGGAUUUGUGAUACUGUACAUGCUUUAGUGCUGCUUAAUAUUGAUCAGCCUGGGAGUUUUCCUUCCAAACCUGUUGCACUAUUUAUCCUCUCUGCAAUCUAAGAGGAAAGGCAAAAAUCUAGAAUCUUCUCAUACCGAAGAGCAAAAAAUCAGGCUUGCUUUGAUAUCCAUGUUUUGGAGAUAAAAAAAAUCCAAGAACUAAAAAGAUCUACGUGAGCAUUUUCGAAGCUACAGAAUGUUCUUUCUACAGAUAAACUGAAGUCCAGUUGUUCAAACUAUCAGGAUAACAACAAGGGUGGAAUUUAAUUUGUGUUCUGUGAGUAGUUUAAUGGCUGACAAAAAGGAGGGAUGAUGAAAGGGCCUCUAAUUUUGCAGGGAAGAGCAUGACAUAUUCAGAUUUAUGGACAAAUUCUAGGCCCAAAUGUUUAAUCUUUCAAAACAGACAAAACGAGCAGAGCAGUCUAAAGAGGCAAAAGGCAAGUUUAAUAUUUCUUUAUCUUAUCAUCCCUAACUUCUGGAAACUAUACUUGAGGAUAUUGAAAGUGAAACUAAAUGCAGUAGAGGGUUAAUUUCUUUAUUUGUGUUGCUCUUUGCUAUGUUUGACUGGAAAUUCUUUACCUUUUAGAAAGUGUAAAUGAACACAUAAAUUAGUAUGAGUUUCAGAUACUAAAAACACUUGUAGCCCAGCACACUAAACUUGGUAUACUAUUUAAGUACCCCCCAAAAAAUCCCCAAAGACAUUGCAACUGAAUUUCUUGUUUCUUCCUGCUCCAGUGCAAUCAGUUCUGUCUGGUGGCAUCUGAAGUGACACAAUAUUUGUAAUGUGAAUGCAAAAGAAUCUCAGUUAUGGGAGAACUGUCUAAAAUUCAUCACAGAUCUCUCAAAUUUGGCUGCUGCACAGCGAGUUGUUCUGUACAGAAGUCUUCCCAGGCGUGCAGAUAGUGUUAACUACAAAAUAUCUUUUUAAUUUUCAAAAUGAAAAAUGCAGAGACAAAGCGUGGUAAUUCAUUCAACCUUUAGAAAGUCAUGAAUCUGCUUACAUUUAGGUCACUAUUUUACAUAUAUGGAAACCUUUUUAGAGGGAAAAACCUUAUUUAUACUUUCUGCUGGAGGGAAAAGUAAAUUGCUGAUAACUUGUUAAAGUUCCAUUAAAAAACCCCUCACAGCUAGUCAUACUAUGGCUUUCCUGGGUACUUCCCUAGGAGGAGAUUUCUGAGUUCUCUGGUUGGUGCUGCUGCAAAAAAAGAUUAUGCAGAAAUAUAUUUGCAACUUCAAUUUCUCUGUGUGUGUGUGCCCUUUGACUCUGUUUGGACUACAGUCACGUAAAUAAGUGUAUUAGUUUCAGCAAUUUUUUCCAGUGGAGAAGCUGAGGUUUCACGAGAACUCUCCACCCAAGCAGAGUUAUGCAGCCACUUCUUUUCACCUCUCUUAUCCCCUGGUUCCACAAACAAAACUCGUGGCAAUAUAUCAGUAACCCUUCACCUGACUGUUGUGAGCAGUGCUCACAGUGUGCAGGCUCCCCAAAAUGAUAAGACUGUCUGUUCUUUAAGGAUAAGCCUCAGAGACACCUCAAUUAUUCUUUUGUGUUGUUUAUGAACUGCAGAGAGUGGUUUGGAGGCUGCACCGAGGGUGGUUGAUUCCAUAAUAAUUUGGGAACUUGUGACCUCGUUCAGAAAUGUCCAGUGAGUGAUACAGUGCAGAGUCCCAAUUUUAAAGGGUUUGUGAGAUGUUUGAGGGUUAUUUAUUUGGGGGUUUUGUUGUUUUGUUUGGAAAUAUUUAUAUCUGGUGUUCUGCCAGGCUUUAUUUGGAUUACCUUGCUGUACGUUUCCUUAGCAAAGAAGUAGUCUGUGCAUAUCAGGAAGACAUGUUUUUAGUUGGGUUAAGAUUUGAUUUAAUAAAUAUUACUAAAAAAUAAUUGUCAGUUGUAAAGAUAAUACUUGAAGAUGCUCUAAUGGAGUCCUGAAAGGGUCCUCAUCUUUCUGCUCUCCUGAACAGGCAUAAAAAUCUCCCACACUUUAAAGAGAAUGCAAGUUAAAAGUUGUUACUUGAUUUUUUUUUUCGUAUUUUUAUUUCCUCUAAAGCAGCAUAAAAUUUCCAAUUAAUAUAGACAGCAGUUAAAUGAAUUCAGAACUGGGAUUGAAGGGAGAAAUGAUUUUGUUUCCUUACUGAAGUCCAGUAAGUUGGUUUUUUGUUUGGGUUUUUUGGGGAGUUUUUUUUAGGUUUUUUGAUUCUUCAGCUGAAUGAACUGGAAAUGGGAAAAAUAUUGCCUGUUUCACCAGUGCUGUACAUAUGAAACCAUCUUUUUUUAAAAAAAAAUGUAUGUCCCUUAAUUGCUAAUGUUGAAAGGCUCCACAAAGCUGCAGAAGGCCUUUUGUUAACUGUAGUGAAAGCUGUGGUGAUAAUAAUGCUGGGUAAAAAAAAAAAAAAAAAGUCUUGAUUUAAUACCUCUUAAAGAAAUGACUUUUGGAAGUUGAGCUAAAGAAAUAUCAGAUGUUAAACAAACCCUGUUUGCUUGGCAGCAUGGGAAAUUAGAAAUUCUGCUGUCGCUACCUAGCAGUGGUUGUCAAAAAGCAAAAUACUUGGCUUAAAACCGUGAGUUCCGUUCAGAAACACAAAAUUGUUUUUCACAACAAGCUCUUUGGUGGAAAUCAAAGCAGAGCUUUGCUCAGGAGCUUGCUUUCAUCUUCCCUCACAACCUGUCUGUGGUGGCUGGAUGCAGCACAGUCCAACAGUGCGCGAUAAAACCGAGGUCUUUAUCAAACAGCUGUUAAAUCAAAUAAAACUACCUUGAUGGGUACGAACCCCUUUAAUGGUUGCCCAUUAAGAGGGGCGAUGCUGUAUCACUCCGAUUGAUGGGGACAUAAAAGCAGGACAAAGAACACUUUGCCGGUGUUAAAUGCCCAUCGUGGCAAUAAGUCUCUAAAAUCAGCGCAGAAAAUUGUCCUGUCUCAAAAGCUGCUCGCCAGAGCAUCACCACGCUGGAUCUGACAAUGGCACUGCUUCUCCUUUUUGCUGAGGAAUUUACUGUGAUACAGAGAUGAGCUCCUGAAACAUGAACUCAGUCGCGAUCCCCCCUCAGUUUUAUUGUCUCUGAGGGCACACUGCGUUGUUUGUAACCAGCAUUGCGUGUAACAUCACUGCACAGAACUCGCCACAGCCCAAUUUAUUGAGCUUCUUUAUGCAACUUUUGAACUGGUUUCAUUUAUUUUUGCAGUCCCUUUGCAGAUUAGAUGCUGAAGACCUUUAAAAGAGGAAAAUCUCCCCGUCGGUGAAGUGGCAGAUCACCAACCACCUCCAGGGGAAGCUACAUGGAAAUGUCUGGGAUUGCAAGUGUAGCCUGUCACCUUGUUAGUCUGCUAAGGGGUGAAAUGCUACAUUCACCUUUUUAAAACUAGCAGGAUGUUCCCCUUCGCAGGGGAGAAAUGGAAAAAAAAAAUAUAAGACCACUUUGAGGGAAUUACAAGUUGGGCAAAUGCUCUACUCUGAAGAGUAGAUCUCCUUGGAUUUUUUUUUUUUUUUUUUUUGGAACCAAAAUGUAUAUUAUGAUAAGGAAAUGCUCACAAUUUUGCUAAGUGGUUUGCUUUUUUUUUUUAAUUUAAGUUAUUUUCUUAAUUUAAGUGAUUUUCUUAAUCUUAAUUUAAAGUGAUCCCUUUAAUUUAAGUGAUUUUCUUGUAGCUGAUCUAAUUUACCUACACUUAAUUUUAUAGAGAAAGUCAAGAUAACCGGUCCUUAUACUCAGCAGUUCCAGCUGGAAGGGGCCAUUCACAAAAUGACCCUAAAAUCUGAACUUGAAACCUCUAGGACAGAAGGCAAAACCAACCUGCAAUUCCUGUAACAAAACUCUAGUUGUCUGGUGUAAGGUGAUUUAUAAGUGCCUGGCAAGCAAACAAAAGCAUUUUACCCCAAUUUUAAAAAAACCCGUUGCAUAUUCAGGUAAUAAUGAUUAAAAAAAAAAAAAGUUUGGAUGAAAUAAAAUCCUGCAGUAGAGCCUGUAAAAUCCCUUGGCAACUGUCAACUUUUGAAGUGUUUCACCUUAGUUUGCACUGAUGGUAAUGAACAUUUAAAUACUUCAGGGGUUUUAUUUAUUUAUUUCAAUCUGACCCACUGGUAUGCUUUUAAGGUCUUAUGCUCUGGGGUAAAAUGUUAUUCUUUGCCUGCUCUUGGAGCACACAUUCCCCUUUCCUCACUUUAAAGUGGCCCUGGGACAAAUCCUGCUUGCAGUGUGGUGUAUUUUUUUCCCACAGAUGAUGGACUGCUGUUAUUCCAGACAUCUCUCAAAUGUUCAGUGGGAUGAUGAGACAAACACCUGUUUGUUUGCACAGUCUGUAUAAUCUGUACCGUUUUUGCAGAUGGUGCCCUUUGCACAGUUCUUUGAGGAGGUGGUGGUGGUUCAUCAUUUGGACACAUCAGGUUUGAACUAUUCAGUGGCCAUCACCAACUGUAAAAUGCCAUAAAUGGAACAAUAUCUUGAGAGGAGCUGCACAGAACCCUUCAGAUGAACCAACUGGCACUGCAAUGCCUAAUGUGCAUUCAGGCAUCCAGGAAAAAUAAAACACAUGGCUCUGGCAGCCCACAAGUGAUGCUACUAAUGAUGGAAGAGAACAACCUUUCCAAGGUCAAGUUACCAAGCAUCUGAACUCUGGAAAGCAUUUGUCAUGGCCUGGGAAUUGAUCUGAAACCUGAGCCAUCUUGGAGAAUAAAUCACCACAGAAAGCAUGCAUUAGAAUAUUCCCUAUGGAGCUGAUUUCCUGGAAGCAGACCUAGGUGCAGUAUUGGUAAUGGGACUAGCAGGCUGGAAGGAGGCUUGUGCCUGAAAAAACAGCACCAGAAAGAUCAAUGAAAACAUCAGUGCUUACAGAGGGAGGGACCAAAGAUCCUUCUUUCAGCUCAGUGGAAAGCUGGAGUGCUCUUCAGGUAAAAGAAGGCUGAAUGUAGCACACAAUACAAAUCCAAAGGAAAGAGGAGGCUUGGAAGAGAAGGGGGCUGAGACUGAAAGCAACACAGCAUGAGAGGAAUGUGAAGUGCUGUUUUAUAAACCGAGCAUUCCUCCUGCUCCCUCAGUUGAUCUGCAAUACUCUGUAAAUAAAUACAUUGCCUGGAUAUUUUUUUUCCAUUUUUCCUUUUGCCAUUUGUAUACUUAACUUUAUAAGUUAUGUCUUUCAUUCCAUGUCAACAAAGAGCCCUUGUGAGAGCAGUCAAGUCCUUUGCCCAGCACACUCUCCAUGCCAAGGUAGGUCCAAAUCCACAGCAGUUGUCAGGAGUGGGUGCUCACUGUCUGGCCAAUAACCAGAGCAAUGGGACAGCUCCUAGCAAUGCAUUAUUAACAGCACCAGAAAGAGCAGUGAAAACAUCAGUGCUUACAGAGGGAGGGACCAAAGCUCCUUCUUUCAGCUCAGUGGAAAGCUGGAGUGCUCUUCAGGUGAGUGAUUAUAAAUGGUAAGCACGUGGAGCUCAUUUUGAAAGUUUUAGUGCUAGUACUUGACAUCGCAUAGCUUGUCAUAAACAAGAGAUGAUCUCUAAGUUUUAUUACGCCAGGGCAGCUUUAAAAUCUUCAAAUCAUACACAGCUUUAUCCCACUUUCUCCCUUUUUCAGUAGCUGUUAUGGCUCAGCCAUUCUUCUUUUCCUUGCUCUUGCCUGCUCAGACAAGCAAAGAUCUUGUCUGAUCUUUGGAUGAAGCAUCAAACAGGCCAAAAUGCACCGGGCUUUGAAACAAGAGGAGCACUGAAAGAGGAAGAUUCCAGCCAGGCCUUUGUCUGUUGGCUGAUUGGUCUGGUUUUCGAGUUGACAUUUGCAAGCAUAAAAGCAUCAGGGAAAGUAGCAAUGGCAUUUUGAGGACUGUGCUGCAAAAAGGGCCAACUAGAAUCUCUCCUGUUUCCACCUGUUCUUCCCCUCUGCCUUCUUCUCAGUUCCAGCCUCUGUCAUCGCUGCAGCAAUCACUGCAGGAAGGUGGAUUAUUGCUUUAGUGCUGUUGGAGUACAUAAUGUUGCAGUUCAUUGGGAUUUUUAAGUUCCUUUUUUUUUCUUACUUAUUUUGAGAAUGCUUUGGCUUUUCUUCGAGGAGAGAACUUGUCCUUUUAGGUACCAUAUCCUAAUGUGCUAAACUCCUACAGAAUAAUCAGAAAAAUCCCAAUUUAACUUAGACUUGGGACUCUUUUAAUCCACUGUUUGGUAAGAUUUCUUAGCUUACCAUGGCACACCAGAGCAUCACAAAGAAAAGGGACACUUCUAAACCAUAACAUAUAUGCACACACAUAUAUAAAUGAAAUUGUAAAGUCACUGAGAAUUUCUACUGAGAUAGUAGGGGAGAAAUGUUAUUUUUAUACUAAGAUUAUGUUUUGCAGUGAAUUUCUGGCUAUUCUGAGGUGAUAAUCAGUGCUGAGUAGGUUUCUUUGCCAUAAAAAGAUCCAGUCUAAAGAGACUCUUGAGUGGCAGCCUAGAUAUGAGAAAUGUUAUUUGAAUUACAUACAGUUUAUAUUCCUGCCCAUUUUUAUAGUAUUUUCCAGAGGCUCUUCUUUAGUUUUAGGCCUUCUCCAUGAAAGCACAUGCAAUAAAACUGUUGCUGCUGCCAGCUUGUAUGCCUGAAAGGUCAACUUUUUUUUUUUUGUUCUAACUUUAUCAGUUUCUUUAAUAAAAGAUAUUAACUCUCUUCACAGCCUUGUCUCACAGAGAGGAGAAAAAUAUCCCCUGCUCCAAAGAAAAUAUCACUUCUAUUUAAUGAUUAAAACAAAUCAGGGGGAGAGAAGAUAUAAGACAGCUACAGGAAAAUUCUGGUUCAGCAUUUAAAUUACACCCAUUUCCACGUGUGAAUAAUGACCCAACUAUGACUGUAGAAUGAAGAAGAGACAAGUCUGUGCAGCGUUCAGAGUUCACCAUCACACUGUGCUCUGCACGGUCACUGACUGAUUAUUCUAAGAUGUUGUGCCAGUUUAAAGGCAAACCAGCUGGGGAAGUGAACCGAACUCAAAGGAGAGAUUUUAAGUCAGAAUAACAAUUUAAUAAAAUAAUACAAGAAAUGCGAUUCU